Molecule: ribosomal RNA, 497 nt
Filed under: uncultured bacterium
Lineage: Bacteria
Description: partial 16S ribosomal RNA
Rfam family: Bacterial small subunit ribosomal RNA
Source: RNAcentral
GAUGAACGCUGGCGGCGUGCCUAAUACAUGCAAGUCGAGCGAACAGACGAGGAGCUUGCUCCUCUGACGUUAGCGGCGGACGGGUGAGUAACACGUGGAUAACCUACCUAUAAGACUGGGAUAACUUCGGGAAACCGGAGCUAAUACCGGAUAAUAUAUUGAACCGCAUGGUUCAAUAGUGAAAGACGGUUUUGCUGUCACUUAUAGAUGGAUCCGCGCCGCAUUAGCUAGUUGGUAAGGUAACGGCUUACCAAGGCGACGAUGCGUAGCCGACCUGAGAGGGUGAUCGGCCACACUGGAACUGGGACGCGGUCCAGACUCCUACGGGAGGCAGCAGUAGGGAAUCUUCCGCAAUGGGCGAAAGCCUGACGGAGCAACGCCGCGUCAGUGAUGAAGGUCUUCGGAUCGUAAAACUCUGUUAUUAGGGAAGAACAAAUGUGUAAGUAACUAUGCACGUCUUGACGGUACCUAAUCAGAAAGCCACGGCUAACUACGUG